CUAACCCUAGUUUUGCAGGGCCAGAGAUAGCUAUGGGGAGUCAGAGUCUGCAGAGUUAGAGUAUGAAGUGUAUGUAAUAGAGUAGUGGACAUGAUGUAAAUUAAAGGAUUAGUAUGUAAUGGAAUGUCUCGAUAUGUAAUGUCAUGUAAUGGAUAGAGUUGUGCUUUGCCCUAGUGUAUGGUUUCUCCCUUGUUAUGCAUGAUCUUUAUUGACUGUUUUAUGUGUUAAGAUAAGAAAG
Molecule: long non-coding RNA, 238 nt
Filed under: Manihot esculenta (cassava)
Lineage: Eukaryota; Viridiplantae; Streptophyta; Magnoliopsida; Malpighiales; Euphorbiaceae
Description: long non-coding RNA (MESC_LNC007588)
Source: RNAcentral